GAUGAAGAACGUAGUGAAAUGCGAUAAGUAAUGUGAAUUGCAGAAUUCAGUGAAUCAUCGAAUCUUUGAACGCACAUUGCGCCCCCUGGUAUUCCGGGGGGCAUGCCUGUCCGAGCGUCAUUACAACCCUCAAGCUCAGCUUGGUGUUGGGCCCCGCCGCCCCGGCGGGCCCUAAAGUCAGUGGCGGUGCCGUCCGGCUCCGAGCGUAGUAAUUCUUCUCGCUCUGGAGGUCCGGUCGUGUGCUCGCCAGCAACCCCCAAUUUUUUUCAGGUUGACCUCGGAUCAGGUAGGGAUACCCGCUGAACUUAAGCAUAUCAAUAAGCGGGGA
This 328-nucleotide unclassified non-coding RNA is filed under the name soil metagenome. RNAcentral's name for it is "partial contains 5.8S ribosomal RNA, internal transcribed spacer 2, and large subunit ribosomal RNA". The stretch from base 1 to 120 matches the Rfam family "5.8S ribosomal RNA", at positions 35 to 154 of the family's 154-position model. The record is from RNAcentral.